Molecule: long non-coding RNA, 935 nt
Filed under: Homo sapiens (human)
Lineage: Eukaryota; Metazoa; Chordata; Mammalia; Primates; Hominidae
Description: long intergenic non-protein coding RNA 1277
Source: RNAcentral
AGAAGAUAAUGGAAUGCUAUCUCUAGAGUACUGAAAGAAACUAAAGGCCAACGUGUGAAAAACAAUCUUCAGAAAUGAACGUUAAAUGAUGACAUUUUCAAACAAACAAGCAACAAAAAGAAGCAAAAAGUAAACAAAAAACAAAAAUUCACAUAAUUUAUUGCUAGGAGUUUUACACUGAAAUGCUGAAGGGAUUUCUACUAGCAAAAGUAAAAAUGAUCUCAUUUGAAAAGAUGGAAAUUCAAGGAGGGAAUGAAGAAUACUGGAUGGGUAAAUGUGUUGGUAACUGUAAAUGAAUACUGACUACACAAAAUUAUGUUGAAUAACUGAAAGAUGAAAACACAAUCACUUGAAGGAGAAAUGUAUGGUCAAACUGCAUGCAGGAAAAACUUCUAUAAAAGAGUUACUUCAUGCUCUGGGUUGGCAGAUACAAUGAGCAGGAGUGCAUCAGAAGUAAUCAAGAAGGUGAUUAGUUGGUGUACUUCAGCAGGAGCAACCAGAUGAAUUGGCUUCUCUAUAUCCCCGUAUUAGCCACAAGCUAGGCAGCAGCCUGCAGGUGGGAGCAAUGCCUAUGCAUGUAUGGAUCAGUGUGCUACAUACAGUCACGUUGACAGCAUGAACCUUCGAUGUGAUGUGAGGAAAAUGGCAUUCUACCUCUGUGUUCUUCCUCCCCAAAAUUUGUAACCACCAUCUAAUCAUGAGGAAAACAUCAUACAAGUCCAAAUUGAGGAAGAUUCUACAAAAUGCCUGAUUAAUAUUCAUCGAAACUGUCAAGGUCAUCAAAAGCAAGGAAAGUCUGAGAAACUGCCACAGCCUAAAGACAAUCCAGGGAAACGUGAUGACUCAGUGGUAUUCGGGGUGGGUUUCUGGAACAGCAAAAGGACAACAGGUAAAAUCUAAGAACAUACGAAUAAAGUGUGAACUUUAAUUAAUAA